RNAcentral lists this ribosomal RNA (406 nucleotides) under uncultured bacterium. RNAcentral describes it as "partial 16S ribosomal RNA". It matches the Rfam family "Bacterial small subunit ribosomal RNA", at positions 30 to 526 of the family's 1533-position model. The record is from RNAcentral.
AUUGAACGCUGGCGGCAGGCUUAACACAUGCAAGUCGAGCGAGCGGCGGACGGGUGAGUAAUGUAUGGGAAUCUGCCCGAUAGAGGGGGAUAACUACUGGAAACGGUGGCUAAUACCGCAUACUAUAGGAUGAACCCAUAUGGGAUUAGCUAGUUGGUGGGGUAAAGGCUCACCUAGCCGACGAUCUCUAGCUGGUCUGAGAGGAUGAUAAGCCAGAUUGGGACUGAGACACGGCCCAGACUCCUACGGGAGGCAGCAGUGGGGAAUAUUGCACAAUGGGAGCAAGCCUGAUGCAGCCAUGCCGCGUGAAUGAAGAAGGCCUUCGGGUUGUAAAGUUCUUUCAGCGGGGAGGCGUUACCCGCAGAAGAAGCACCGGCUAACUCCGUGCCAGCAGCCGCGGUAAUUC